GACCCUAUAGCUCAGGGUUUAGGGCGCUGGUCUUAUAAACCAGGUGUCAGGAGUUCAUAUCUCCCUGGGGCCU
RNAcentral lists this transfer RNA (73 nucleotides) under Bos taurus (domestic cattle). It matches the Rfam family "tRNA". From Rfam's summary of the family: Transfer RNA (tRNA) molecules are approximately 80 nucleotides in length. Their secondary structure includes four short double-helical elements and three loops (D, anti-codon, and T loops). Further hydrogen bonds mediate the characteristic L-shaped molecular structure. tRNAs have two regions of fundamental functional importance: the anti-codon, which is responsible for specific mRNA codon recognition, and the 3' end, to which the tRNAs corresponding amino acid is attached (by aminoacyl-tRNA synthetases). tRNAs cope with the degeneracy of the genetic code in two manners: having more than one tRNA (with a specific anti-codon) for a particular amino acid; and 'wobble' base-pairing, i.e. permitting non-standard base-pairing at the 3rd anti-codon position. RNAcentral also lists the same sequence under 1 other name. The record is from Rfam by way of RNAcentral. Lineage: Eukaryota; Metazoa; Chordata; Mammalia; Artiodactyla; Bovidae.